UGCCAGCCGCCGCGGUAAUACGGAGGGUGCAAGCGUUAUCCGGAAUUACUGGGUUUAAAGGGUACGUAGGCGGCCGUAUAAGUCAGAGGUGAAAUCCUACAGCUUAACUGUAGAACUGCCUUUGAAACUGUAUGGCUUGAGUACUGUAGAGGUAUGCGGAAUUUAUGGUGUAGCGGUGAAAUGCAUAGAUACCAUAAAGAACACCGAUUGCGAAGGCAGCAUACUGGACAGUAACUGACGCUGAUGUACGAAAGCGUGGGUAGCGAACAGGAUUAGAUA
RNAcentral lists this ribosomal RNA (279 nucleotides) under uncultured bacterium. RNAcentral describes it as "partial 16S ribosomal RNA". It matches the Rfam family "Bacterial small subunit ribosomal RNA", at positions 506 to 784 of the family's 1533-position model. The record is from RNAcentral.